This 72-nucleotide transfer RNA is filed under the name Camelus dromedarius (Arabian camel). It matches the Rfam family "tRNA". Rfam says of the family: Transfer RNA (tRNA) molecules are approximately 80 nucleotides in length. The record is from Rfam by way of RNAcentral. Lineage: Eukaryota; Metazoa; Chordata; Mammalia; Artiodactyla; Camelidae. RNAcentral also lists the same sequence under 1 other name.
GAGGUUAUAGCUCAGUGGUAGAGUAUGUGCUUAGUAUGCACAAGGUCCUGGGUUCAAUCCCCAGUACCCUCA